This is a non-coding RNA of Caretta caretta (loggerhead turtle), 630 nucleotides long. NCBI's taxonomy places the organism in Eukaryota, Metazoa, Chordata, Testudines, Cheloniidae. The record is from the annotation of a RefSeq genome assembly.
AUGAAAUCUCUGUUGCUUUUCCUUUCCCUGUUCUCCGCCCCCAGCUGUGUCCUCUCCCAGGUGCAGCUGGUCCAGUCCGGCCCAGGAGCUGUGAAGCCGGGAGGGACCCUGCGUAUCACCUGUAAAGUUUCUGGUGUCUCUGUCAGUGACUACCAUUGGAACUGGGUCCGGCAGCCCCCUGGGAAAGGGCUUCAGUGGAUGGGGCUUAUCCGGAGCUCUGCAGCAGGCCGGACCACAGAGUAUAAGUCGGUUUUCAAACCUUGUGUCACCGUCACUAGGGUCACCUCGAAGGACGAAGUUUAUCUCCAGCUCCGCUCGCUGACAGCCAGAGACACCGCCACCUAUUACUGUGCUCGAUACACGCUGGUCCACUUCGGCCGAAGAGCGGUGAAGCCUGGAGACACCCUCACACUGACCUGCGCUGUCUCCGGGACCUCCAUUAGCAGUGAUAACGGCUGGCACUGGAUCCGGCAGCGUCCCGGGACAGGGCUGAAGUGCAGCUGGUCCAGCCCGGCCCGGGAGCGGGGAAUCCCGGAGGGACCCUCAGUAUCAUCUGUGCGCUCAGCUGAGCGGGUCUCUCCGGGGUGUAAAGGGAGCACCUGUCCCCGACGGGACAUCGCCAUGUACUGA